RNAcentral lists this ribosomal RNA (433 nucleotides) under uncultured bacterium. RNAcentral describes it as "partial 16S ribosomal RNA". It matches the Rfam family "Bacterial small subunit ribosomal RNA", at positions 29 to 507 of the family's 1533-position model. The record is from RNAcentral.
AGCGAACGCUGGCGGCAGGCCUAACACAUGCAAGUCGAACGAACUCUUCGGAGUUAGUGGCGGACGGGUGAGUAACACGUGGGAACGUGCCUUUUGGUUCGGAAUAACUCAGGGAAACUUGUGCUAAUACCGAAUGUGCCCUUCGGGGGAAAGAUUUAUCGCCAUUAGAGCGGCCCGCGUCUGAUUAGCUAGUUGGUGAGGUAACGGCUCACCAAGGCGACGAUCAGUAGCUGGUCUGGGAGGAUGACCAGCCACACUGGGACUGAGACACGGCCCAGACUCCUACGGGAGGCAGCAGUGGGGAAUCUUGCGCAAUGGGCGAAAGCCUGACGCAGCCAUGCCGCGUGAAUGAUGAAGGUCUUAGGAUUGUAAAAUUCUUUCACCGGGGACGAUAAUGACGGUACCCGGAGAAGAAGCCCCGGCUAACUUCGUG